Molecule: long non-coding RNA, 2303 nt
Organism: Gasterosteus aculeatus aculeatus (three-spined stickleback)
Lineage: Eukaryota; Metazoa; Chordata; Actinopteri; Perciformes; Gasterosteidae
Source: Ensembl
CGCAGCUAGUGGAGGCGGCAAAGUGCUCAGUGUUGCCAGAUUGUAAAUGGUGAAGUAUCGUACCAAAGGCUCAAAAUGGUCGUAUUUGGAGGAUAAUUAUCGUGUAUCUGGCAACAUUGAGAUCGGUCGACCAAUGACUGUUCUCUCUACAGUCAGAGCUCGCGAAAGAAGGUGGAACAACGCAACCAUGUAAUGCCUCAGGAGUCUGUAGAGGGAAUGAAGACGCGUUCUGCUGCACUUAACAGAGCUCAAGACCAACGGGACGCCAUCAGGACGCCACGUCAACGGGACGCCAUCAGGGUGCCAUCAGGACGCCACGUCAACGGGACGCCAUCAGGACGUCACGUCAACCCCUCAGGAGCAAAUCCAGAUCUACGCAUGACACACAUACACACACACACACAGAUGUACACACAGACACACUAACAUUUGGUUCUAAACAAUGACACACACUAACAUUUAGAUGUACACAAAGACACAUUAAUAUUUAGAUGUACACACAGACACACUAACAAUUAGAUCUACACACAGACACACUAACAAUUAGAUCUACACACAGACCCACUAACAUUUAGAUGUACACACAGACACAUCCUGGUGACCCUCCUCACGUCUCUUCUCCUUGUCUGCAGACCAACAGGACGCCACGUCAUCGGGACGCCUUCAGGACGCCGCGUCAGCCCCUCAGGAGCAAAUCCAGAUCUACUCAUGACACACACACACACCCACACACACACACACACAGAUGUACUCACAGACCCACUAACAUUUGGUUCUAAACAAAGACACACACUAACAGUUGGAUGUACACAAAGACACAUUAAUAUUUAGAUGUACACACAGACACACUGACAAUUAGAUGUACACACGGACCCACUAACAAUUAGAUGUACACAAAGACACACUAACAUUUAGAUGUACACUAAGACACACUAACUAUUAGAUGUACACACAGACCCACUAACAAUUAGAUGUACACACAGACACAUCCUGAUGAUCCUCCUCACGUCUCUUCUCCUUGUCUGCAGACAGGAUGCCAUCAUGACGCCACGUCAUCGGGACGCCAUCAGGACACCACGUCAUCGGGACGUCAUCGGGACGCCAUCAGGACGCCGCGUCAACCCCUCAGCAGCAAAUCCAGAUCUACUCAUGACACACACACACACCCACACACUGCGAGGGAUGUCGCGACUCACACACACACUAACAUUUGGUUCUAAACAAAGACACACACUAACAUUUAGAUGUACACAAAGACACAUUCAUAUUUAGAUCUACACACAGACACACUAACAAUUAGAUCCACACAGACACACUAACAAUUAGAUGUACACACGGACACACUAACAAUUAGAUCUACACACAGACACAUUAACAAUUAGAUCUACACACAGACACACUAUCAUUUGGUUCUAAACAAAUACACACACUAAUAUUUAGAUGUACACACAGACACACUAACAUUUAGAUGUACACACAGACACACUAACAAUUAGAUGUACACAGACACACUAACAAUUAGAUCUACACACAGACACACUAACAAUUAGAUGGACACACUAACAAUUAGAUCUACACACAGACCCACUAACAAUUAGAUGUACACACAGGCACACCCUGAUGAUCCUCCUCACGUCUCUUCUCCUUGUCUGCAGACCAACAGGACGCCAUCAGGACGCCACGUCUUCGGGACGCCAUCAGGACGCCACGUCAUCGGGACGCCAUCAGGACGCCACGUCAUCGGGACGCCAUCAGGAUUCCAUCAGGACGCCGCGUCAACCCCUCCGGAGCAAACCUAGAUCUACUCAUGACACACACACACAGAUGUACUCAGAGACACACUUACAUUUGGCACUGUGGCAAAAUUUAGAUCGACAUUUUGAUGGUACACACAGACACACUAUUAUUUGUUUCUAAACAAUGACACACACUAAUAUUUAGAUGUACACAAAGACAUAUUAAUAUUUAGAUGUACACACAGACACACUAUCAUUUGGUUCUAAAAAAAAGACACACACUAAUAUUUAGAUGUACACAAAGACAUAUUAAUAUUUAGAUGUACACACAUACACACUAACAUUUAGAUGUACACACAGACACACUAACAAUUAGAUUUACACACACACUAACAUUAACAUGUUAAUAACUUUUCUUCUUUUCUCUCUUCUCAGGAACUGCUUCAGAUGUUUUCCCAAUGAUUGUAUUAUUAUUAUUAUUGUUAAAUAUGUCAUCUGUUUAUUAUUUGAAUAAAAAUAAAACCAAAUGAAUCCAUCUUGUUUUCUUCAGACCAAAGAGAAUCACAU